Molecule: ribosomal RNA, 238 nt
Filed under: uncultured bacterium
Lineage: Bacteria
Description: partial 16S ribosomal RNA
Rfam family: Bacterial small subunit ribosomal RNA
Source: RNAcentral
CGAACGGUCGCGUAACACGUAAGCAACCUGCCCCAAAGACCGGGACAACGUUUCGAAAGGAGCGCUAAUACCGGAUGUGACCUCUUUUUGGAAUCGGGAAGAGAUUAAAGCGAGCAAUCGGCUUUAGGAGGGGCUUGCGGCCUAUCAGCUAGAUGGUGGGGUAACGGCCUACCAUGGCGACGACGGGUAGCUGGUCUGAGAGGAUGGUCAGCCGGAUUGGGACUGAGAUACGGCCCAG